GCUUUCGUGCUCGUCGGCGGGAUGGUGCAAGGCGCAACUCCGACGUGGUUCCUCACUGGUUGGAUGUCGUUUAGGCGCAACCCUGGUGCCCUCUGAGUACUGCCUCGGCUACAACCUCCCUCUAUGAGCUCCAUCUUCCCCUGCUCUGCUUCGGCUACUAUAUGGGACAUGGCCAGGGCUAUGAUGAUCAGCUAUGGCUGAUAUAGGCAUGCUCUCAAGCAGUCGAGGCACUUGUGGGUAUUAAUUUGGAUCCUCCCUCGUUUCUUUGAGCUGUUUUGAUCACGUUCUUAUUUUAGUGGCUCUGUCCUUGGAUUGUCAUUUCUAAUGAGUGAUAACCAGGGCAGUUAAACCCUUGUAAGAACAUAUUGAUCCGGUGGUCCAUCCAAAAAUCCAGAAAUAAGUCCAUCCAGAAAUAAGAAUAGAAGCUCCUCAGGCCACUCCUCAGCGAUUUGGGAUUCCUGGCCAUCGGAUCUGGUUGCUUGAUGGAUCUUGGGCCGUCGGAUUGACCGCCGUAACGACCUUGUCCGUCAGAUAAAAAACAAUUACUGCGGGAAUGAAUAGUUACUCCCAAAAUGAGAUAUCUCGUGCCACCGCGUUUGAAUCAUGUGCCCCAUCGGCCGGAAGCCAUUCUUGCUAGGGCGAUGAUGAUUAGCCGUGGGUAUCAAGUUCGGUCCUCCCUCUUGUCUCUAGAAUCCUUUUUGAUCCUGUGAUACUUAUUGUUCUGUCCUUUGGAUGGUCAUUCUUAUUGAGUGAUAACCAGGGCAGCUCCAUUGUAUAAACAGAUUGAUCUAGUGAUAACAGAUGAUGGGGGUAGAUUAUAUGAUCGAGGAAAGGCAAAUCUGAGCCCAUAUGCAUUGAACCCUGAACCGUUUUUAUUCGCACGUGCCCCACUGGUUGGAAGCCAUCCUUGCUAGGGCGAUGAUGAUUCGCUGUGGCUGAAAUAAGUGUGCCUUUGAGCAAACAAGGCACCUGUGGGUAUCAAGUUGGGUCCUCCCUCUUGUCUCUAGAAUCCUUUUUGAUCAUGUGAUACUUAUUGUUCUGUCCUUGGAUGGUCAUUCUUGUUGAGUGAUAACCAGGGCAGCUCCAAUGUAUAAACAGAUUAAUGUGGUGACAAGAGAUGGCGGGGGUAGAUUAUAUGAUCGAGGAAAGGCAAAUCUGAGCCCACUAUGCAUUGAACCCUGAACCCUUUUUAUUUGUAUUUAAAGGUGUUGCUUAUUUAUGCUCCAGUGUUUAUAGCCAUCUUAUGUGAAUAUUUCUUCUCUCUCAUACCUUUAUUGCAUAUAAGUUGUUCUUGACUUUUAUUGUUUGUUGUUGGUCCUUGAUUUCAUCUGGUUAAGAGUAAGCAAGUUGUCGGUUCAAUGGCUUGUUUUAAUUUGUUGAUAAACCAGCAGAAACCAUGGUGUCAUGUUUCUAAUAACAGCAUCUUUAGGCUGGUUAAUGUUUGUAUUGGAUCCCACUACCUUUUAUUUCGCUUGUUUCUUACCAUCUUCCUUGCUUCUCUGGCUGUUUCACGGUUGGGACGGUGGCGUGGCGUUGGGGCUGUCUUGCGGGUCGGGCGGAGAGGGAGCACACCGAGUGGGCUUCUAAGAUGGCUGAGGGAUUUGUCUAGGGUUUCCUGGUUAAUCCAUUCUGAUUUUGGUCUGCUCAUGCUCUUGGCUUCCGGACCGUGGUGCUCAAGGUGGUCUGGCUGUCGCUGCCGCCCCUGCUCGACGAUGCUGCACCCCUGCUCGAUCACUUUAUAAAAAUAGCGUAUGCAGAAGUGAAAACGAGUCAAACAGAUGAUCAGUGCCUCAGUCCUUCAGUACUUGAGGUAUGUGUUGACUGUAUUAAUGCUAUUAUGUUUUUAGUGGCCAAUAUUUCUGACGAGUGUAUAAACCCACAGUUGACCAUGGUCCAGAUAUGAGUUUAAUUGGUGUCUAAGAUAAUUAGUAGCAUGAUUUUAUAAAGCUCCAGUUCCAUGGUUCUGAGCACUUGUGUUUAAUUGGAAUCACUUGUUAUUAUAGAACUAUGUUGUUGACUAUAGUUCCAUGUAGCUUGAGUAUUUAUCUGUACUUGAAGUCUACAAGUGUUUUCUUAAGUAUACCAGAACCACCUGACCGAGAAUAAUUAAUAUCAUAACUAUUAAGUAAACUGAAUUGAGCAUUUCUUAGAUUUUUUUGGUUUAGAGCUUUUAUUGUCUCUUUGGUAAUAUGUUGGAGUUUACUUUUCCUGUGGCAUACGUUUAUUUUGGAAGUUAUUUGCAUGUAUACUGGUAGGCGGUUGUCUACGUGCCCCCUUAUAGCUGCUUAUUAUCUAUAAGUGGUGAAUAUUAUUUUCCUGAGUUUAAUUGUAUGUAUCAAGCCGCUUGGUGGAAAGACUUCCUAUUGUAUCUUGACAUGUGAAUUGAAUGUUGUGGUUAUAUUAACAUCGCUCUUUGUUUUGUUGUCUACUUCUUUAUUUCCCUUUGGAUGGGCGCUCAUGUCGGCGUGGGGCACAGCGGCCUCCGAGGGAGCCGAGCCGGCGGAUGUGGAGGCUGCCGAGCGGCGGUGCUCGCGUGAAGGAGGAAUAUGAUGAUGCGUGGAGUGGCGUGGGGUACCAACCAUCUCCAUCGAGUGGCGGUGCUCGCGUGAAGGAUGAGUUCGUUAGCACUCUCUCGGCUGUGGCUGCACGUUCAACUGGCCAGUCAAGGAGCUCCAGCAAGCAGGACACCCAGCGAGUGUUUAGGAUCCCACACACGGCAGUUCUUGGCAUGCUCCUGGCACACCUUGGACUAUCACCGGCUCAGUAUGAACGCGUUGUUCAUGAGGACGGCAAGACCCAUGUUGUAAAUUGUCUGUAAGCGACGUGUUGCCGUAUCUUCUAUGCCUAAAACAUCUGUAAGCGACGUGUUGUCGUAUCUUCUAUGCCUGAACGUCUACAUUAUGCCUAAAACUUAAAGUUGUCUAUGCAUAGUUGUAAAUUGUCUUUAAGCGACGUGUUGUCGUAUCUUCUA
Molecule: RNA transcript, 2971 nt
Organism: Triticum aestivum (bread wheat)
Lineage: Eukaryota; Viridiplantae; Streptophyta; Magnoliopsida; Poales; Poaceae
Exons: 4
Source: RefSeq, a predicted model, not a curated record